Molecule: ribosomal RNA, 467 nt
Filed under: uncultured bacterium
Lineage: Bacteria
Description: partial 16S ribosomal RNA
Rfam family: Bacterial small subunit ribosomal RNA
Source: RNAcentral
GAUGAACGCUGACAGAAUGCUUAACACAUGCAAGUCAACUGGAAUUUGGGUUUUUAACUUAGGUUUGGGUGGCGGACGGGUGAGUAACGCGUAAAGAACUUGCCUCACAGCUAGGGACAACAUUUGGAAACGAAUGCUAAUACCUAAUAUUAUGAUAAUAGGGCAUCCUAUAAUUAUGAAAGCUAUAAGCGCUGUGAGAGAGCUUUGCGUCCCAUUAGCUAGUUGGAGAGGUAACGGCUCACCAAGGCGAUGAUGGGUAGCCGGCCUGAGAGGGUGAUCGGCCACAAGGGGACUGAGACACGGCCCUUACUCCUACGGGAGGCAGCAGUGGGGAAUAUUGGACAAUGGACCGAGAGUCUGAUCCAGCAAUUCUGUGUGCACGAUGAAGUUUUUCGGAAUGUAAAGUGCUUUCAGUUGGGAAGAAACAAAUGACGGUACCAACAGAAGAAGUGACGGCUAACUACGUG